CCUACGGGUGGCUGCAGUGGGGAAUAUUGGACAAUGGGGGGAACCCUGAUCCAGCCAUGCCGCGUGUGUGAAGAAGGCCCUCGGGUUGUAAAGCACUUUCAGUGAGGAAGAACGCCUGGUGGUUAAUACCCAUCAGGAAAGACAUCACUCACAGAAGAAGCACCGGCUAACUCCGUGCCAGCAGCCGCGGUAAUACGGAGGGUGCGAGCGUUAAUCGGAAUUACUGGGCGUAAAGCGCGCGUAGGUGGCUUGAUAAGCCGGUUGUGAAAGCCCCGGGCUCAACCUGGGAACGGCAUCCGGAACUGUCAAGCUAGAGUGCAGGAGAGGAAGGUAGAAUUCCCGGUGUAGCGGUGAAAUGCGUAGAGAUCGGGAGGAAUACCAGUGGCGAAGGCGGCCUUCUGGACUGACACUGACACUGAGGUGCGAAAGCGUGGGUAGCAAACGGGAUUAGAUACCCGUGUAGUC
Molecule: ribosomal RNA, 465 nt
Filed under: Vreelandella stevensii
Lineage: Bacteria; Pseudomonadati; Pseudomonadota; Gammaproteobacteria; Oceanospirillales; Halomonadaceae
Description: partial 16S ribosomal RNA
Rfam family: Bacterial small subunit ribosomal RNA
Source: RNAcentral